Chiloscyllium plagiosum (whitespotted bambooshark) is the source of this 811-nucleotide long non-coding RNA. RefSeq lists it as uncharacterized. The record is from RefSeq and is a predicted model, not a curated record. NCBI's taxonomy places the organism in Eukaryota, Metazoa, Chordata, Chondrichthyes, Orectolobiformes, Hemiscylliidae.
AGCAUAUUUUGAAAAAUGUGUUCUAAAAAAGUAUAAUUCAGGCUUCUCCAAAACAAUUAAGUUUCCUUUCAGUGGUCUGAUAUAAACGUGUUUCUUUCAUUCAUGCAGGAACUCACUGGAGUCAUGUGUGACAUCUCCCAAGCAGAUGACCAAGAUGGUGACUGGUUAUCAAACUCUGGUAACUUAUGGUUAGAGGUAGCUUGCUGCUACCAAUCAUCCAUUCUAUGUGGAGUCCAAGGAUCUGGAUAAAAGUCAGUGAUAGAAGAUAGACCGCAAACUCUUCUUAACAAGAUGAGACAAUAGUCUCACAUAACAAGAAUCCUUUAUGUUCAGAUCAAGCAAAUUCUUCCUUGUGAUCAUGUGUUGAAUCUGUGGAUCUUCGAGUCAUGUGCUGCUUAUCACCAUUUUCUUCAAGCAAAUCUUUUGAAACGUUUCAGUUGAAGCAUACAAACUCUUUACUUUAGCUUGGUAAUUAAACUGGAAGUUUUCAUUCACCUGUGUAGUUGAUUUCACAUUCUUGGUUGAUUUAUUGGGAAUGUUGCUGCCAAUCAGCAGGUACUGACAAAGGUGUUGAAACCAAGACAUAUUGGUCGGCUCAAAAGUGGGGAGUGUUGAUUGUCAACAGCCUACAGAAUUUCAACCAUACAAGCUAUUGGUGUUGUGCAUUACUUUUUAAUCUUUUUAUUUCACCUGGGCCAUAGAGGUUUGUUUGUAGACUAUAACCUCUGUUCCUUCAACCAUAGUAUUUGAUUUGAUCUGACAGCAUAUUAACAUUUGUUCCUGUAUCAAGCGUAACUGUAACAAGAUGUUG